UGGGGAAUAUUGGACAAUGGGCGCAAGCCUGAUCCAGCCAUGCCGCGUGAGUGAAGAAGACCUUCGGGUUGUAAAGCUCUUUUACCAGGGACGAUAAUGACGGUACCUGGAGAAUAAGCCCCGGCAAACUUCGUGCCAGCAGCCGCGGUAAUACGAAGGGGGCUAGCGUUGUUCGGAAUUACUGGGCGUAAAGCGCACGUAGGCGGAUUGUUAAGUCAGAGGUGAAAUCCCGGAGCUCAACUUCGGAACUGCCUUUGAUACUGGCAAUCUAGAGUCCGGAAGAGGUUAGUGGAAUUCCCAGUGUAGAGGUGAAAUUCGUAGAUAUUGGGAAGAACACCAGUGGCGAAGGCGGCUAACUGGUCCGGUACUGACGCUGAGGUGCGAAAGCGUGGGGAGCAAACAGGAUUAGAUACCCUCGUAGUCCCUGAGCGGGCUGGCAAGGCGCAU
Molecule: ribosomal RNA, 447 nt
Filed under: uncultured bacterium
Lineage: Bacteria
Description: bacterial SSU rRNA
Rfam family: Bacterial small subunit ribosomal RNA
Source: RNAcentral